RNAcentral lists this transfer RNA (73 nucleotides) under Enterocloster aldenensis. RNAcentral describes it as "[Clostridium] aldenense tRNA-Phe". It matches the Rfam family "tRNA". Rfam says of the family: Transfer RNA (tRNA) molecules are approximately 80 nucleotides in length. Their secondary structure includes four short double-helical elements and three loops (D, anti-codon, and T loops). Lineage: Bacteria; Bacillati; Bacillota; Clostridia; Lachnospirales; Lachnospiraceae. The record is from RNAcentral.
GGAUUGGUAGCUCAGUUGGUAGAGCAGAGGACUGAAAAUCCUCGUGUCGCUGGUUCGAUUCCAGUCUGGUCCA